Molecule: ribosomal RNA, 263 nt
Filed under: uncultured Staphylococcus sp.
Lineage: Bacteria; Bacillati; Bacillota; Bacilli; Caryophanales; Staphylococcaceae
Description: partial 16S ribosomal RNA
Rfam family: Bacterial small subunit ribosomal RNA
Source: RNAcentral
CGGACGGGUGAGUAACACGUGGAUAACCUACCUAUAAGACUGGGAUAACUUCGGGAAACCGGAGCUAAUACCGGAUAAUAUAUUGAACCGCAUGGUUCAAUAGUGAAAGACGGUUUUGCUGUCACUUAUAGAUGGAUACGCGCCGCAUUAGCUAGUUGGUAAGGUAACGGCUUACCAAGGCAACGAUGCGUAGCCGACCUGAGAGGGUGAUCGGCCACACUGGAACUGAGACACGGUCCAGACUCCUACGGGAGGCAGCAGAG